GAUGAACGCUGGCGGCGUGCCUAAUACAUGCAAGUCGAGCGAACAGACGAGGAGCUUGCUCCUCUGACGUUAGCGGCGGACGGGUGAGUAACACGUGGAUAACCUACCUAUAAGACUGGGAUAACUUCGGGAAACCGGAUCUAAUACCGGAUAAUAUAUUGAACCGCAUGGUUCAAUAGUGAAAGACGGUUUUGCUGUCACUUAUAGAUGGAUCCGCGCCGCAUUAGCUAGUUGGUAAGGUAACGGCUUACCAAGGCAACGAUGCGUAGCCGACCUGAGAGGGUGAUCGGCCACACUGGAACUGAGACACGGUCCAGACUCCUACGGGAGGCAGCAGUAGGGAAUAUUCCGCAAUGGGCGAAAGCUUGACGGAGCAACGCCGCGUGAGUGAUGAAGGUCUUCGGAUCGUAAAACUCUGUUAUUAGGGAAGAACAAAUGUGUAAGUAACUAUGCACGUCUUGACGGUACCAAAACAGAAAGCCACGGCUAACUACGUG
RNAcentral lists this ribosomal RNA (497 nucleotides) under uncultured bacterium. Its description in RNAcentral is "partial 16S ribosomal RNA". It matches the Rfam family "Bacterial small subunit ribosomal RNA", at positions 28 to 507 of the family's 1533-position model. The record is from RNAcentral.